CCUACGGGAGGCAGCAGUGGGGAAUAUUGGGCAAUGGGCGCAAGCCUGACCCAGCAACGCCGCGUGAAGGAAGAAGGCCUUCGGGUUGUAAACUUCUUUUGUCAGGGACGAAGAAAGUGACGGUACCUGACGAAUAAGCUACGGCUAACUACGUGCCAGCAGCCGCGGAAAUACGUAGGAGGCAAUCGUUAUCCGGAGUUACUGGGGGUAAAGGGCGUGUAGGCGGGAGAGCAAGUCAGACGUGAAAUUCCAGGGCUCAACCCUGGAACUGCGUUUGAAACUGUUCUUCUUGAGUGAUGGAGAGGCAGGCAGAAUUCCGGGUGUAGCGGUGAAAUGCGUAGAGAUACGGAGGAACACCAGUGGCGAAGGCGGCCUGCUGGACAUUAACUGACGCUGAGGCGCGAAAGCGUGGGGAGCAAACAGGAUUAGAUACCCGGGUAGUC
RNAcentral lists this ribosomal RNA (443 nucleotides) under uncultured bacterium. RNAcentral describes it as "partial 16S ribosomal RNA". It matches the Rfam family "Bacterial small subunit ribosomal RNA", at positions 338 to 795 of the family's 1533-position model. The record is from RNAcentral.